CAGAACUGCGCCCAGCCCACAGCCUGCCCUCGGGAAAACACACACUCGGGCUCUCCUAGCUCGAGACGCCUGGGGCCCCUAGUUUAGCACCCCAGCUGCUCCAGGCCACCCAGGGCCUCCACACCUUCCGGCAGUGCUGUCUGGGGCUUCCCUUUGUGACGCUGGCUGGGCCAGCAGGGCGCCCGUCCAGCCCCCUCUUCCUGCCAGAGCCAGAGAGCCCACCUUUCUGCCCCCUCCCAGGAGGGCGGGCCAAGUGCCCCCAGGCGGAGAUUAAGCAACAAUGCGGGCUUCAGAGAACAGUGAGCGCCUGGUUCUGAGCCCAGUGACGCCAUCCAGCAGGACAAUGUGGCCCUGAGCACCUGCCAAGGGACAGCCCAUAUGCUCUCCACCCAGACAAGUCGCAGAGUGCUGUCAGCCCAACAAGGAAGGGGACGAAGGAAAGACGGGGCUAACAAGCCGCCAACCAGCCCCCGCCCAGCCGCUGUGCUCCGGGCCCUGGGGGUCCGCGAGUCUCCAUUCACUGCAGCCCAGAGCCCAGCUGGAAAGGGCUGCGACUCUGAUCCAGCCCCAGACAGGUGCAGAAUCCUCCACCCAAAACCCUGUGAGCAGGAGGCCUGGAACUGAGAGUUCUGGAAGCCAGGACAGGACAGGCCGACCCAGGCACUGAAAUGCUGACCUUCCUGCAGCAGAUGGUGCACUGCCUGCAAAGGAUGGGAACAGGGCCACCGGGACACCUGGUGGCAUCUGGAUUCGGAGUGGCAGAUAAGGGCUGCAGACCAGCAUCUCUUCGGAACAAUCCAGGCAGCCAAGACGAAAAGCAAAGGAAAAUAAAGGGAAGUUCCCUGGGUGGCAGGAGAGGUGGCCCGGGAGGCACAGGGCGCCUGCUGGGGUGCACGUCUCCGCUGUGCUCCGCGCCCCACGUCGGGCUCAGGCGCUCACGUGUUUGAAUUAUUCAAAACAACAAUAAAAAUUCCUUAGGUGAAA
Molecule: long non-coding RNA, 984 nt
Organism: Ictidomys tridecemlineatus (thirteen-lined ground squirrel)
Lineage: Eukaryota; Metazoa; Chordata; Mammalia; Rodentia; Sciuridae
Source: RefSeq, a predicted model, not a curated record